CACGAACCGUACGAACGUUAUUCGGAAUUACUGGGCUUAAAGGGUGCGUAGGCGGCUCAGAAAGUUGGGUGUGAAAGCCCUCGGCUCAACCGAGGAAUUGCGCCCAAAACUACUGAGCUUGAGGGAGACAGAGGUGAGUGGAACUUAGGGUGGAGCGGUGAAAUGCGUUGAUAUCCUAAGGAACACCAGUGGCGAAGGCGACUCACUGGGUCUCUUCUGACGCUGAGGCACGAAAGCUAGGGGAGCGAACGGG
RNAcentral lists this ribosomal RNA (253 nucleotides) under uncultured bacterium. RNAcentral's name for it is "partial 16S ribosomal RNA". It matches the Rfam family "Bacterial small subunit ribosomal RNA", at positions 524 to 776 of the family's 1533-position model. The record is from RNAcentral.